This 511-nucleotide ribosomal RNA is filed under the name uncultured bacterium. RNAcentral describes it as "bacterial SSU rRNA". It matches the Rfam family "Bacterial small subunit ribosomal RNA", at positions 28 to 531 of the family's 1533-position model. The record is from RNAcentral.
GAUGAACGCUGGCGGCAGGCUUAAUACAUGCAAGUUGAACGGUAACAUAUUGUAGCAAUACGAUGAUGACGAGUGGCGUACGGGUGCGUAACACGUGUGCAACCUACCUUAUACCGGAACAUAACGUCGAGAAAUUGACGCUAACAUUCCAUAACAUUGCUUGAAGGCAUCUUUUAGCAAUUAAAACUCCGGUGGUAUAAGAUGGGCACGCGUUCCAUUAGCUUGUUGGUAAGGUAACGGCUUACCAAGGCUACGAUGGAUAGGGGUUCUGAGAGGAUUAUCCCCCACACUGGAACUGAGACACGGUCCAGACUCCUACGGGAGGCAGCAGUAAGGAAUAUUGGGCAAUGGAGGCAACUCUGACCCAGCCAUGCCGCGUGCAGGAAGACGGCCCUACGGGUUGUAAACUGCUUUUAAAGGGAGUAAGGUUAGUUACGUGUAACUAAUUGCAAGUACCUAUAGAAUAAGGAUCGGCUAACUCCGUGCCAGCAGCCGCGGUAAACUGUCUACG